AUGUGAUCUCUUAAAGCUACUGACUCUCUGCAAGUAACUGAAUUUGCCUCCAAAAAUGUCAGCUGGUGGAUUGGUGUGCUGACUUUCCUCCAGAGAAGGUACUGGGCAUAUAGCUCAAAGUCCGCUGUCCGGCCCAA
RNAcentral lists this long non-coding RNA (137 nucleotides) under Capra hircus (goat). RNAcentral's name for it is "lncRNA (ENSCHIG00010015345.1)". Lineage: Eukaryota; Metazoa; Chordata; Mammalia; Artiodactyla; Bovidae. The record is from RNAcentral.